Long non-coding RNA from Oncorhynchus keta (chum salmon), 482 nucleotides. RefSeq lists it as uncharacterized. Lineage: Eukaryota; Metazoa; Chordata; Actinopteri; Salmoniformes; Salmonidae. The record is from RefSeq and is a predicted model, not a curated record. The transcript is spliced from 4 exons.
AUUAACACAGCAGCAUCAGAGCCAUGGAUAGCCCCCUCACUGAACUAGAGGUGAAUAUUAACACAGCAGCAUCAGAGCCAUGGAUAGCCCCCUCACUGACCUAGAGGUGAAUAUUAACACAGCAGCAUCAGAGCCAUGGAUAGCCCCCUCACUGAACUAGAGGUGAAUAUUAACACAGCAGCAUCAGAGCCAUGGAUAGCCCCCUCACUGACCUAGAGGUGAAUAUUAACACAGCAGCAUCAGAGCCAUGGAUAGCCCCCUCACUGAACUAGAGGUGAAUAUUAACACAGCAGCAUCAGAGCCAUGGAUAGCCCCCUCACUGACCUAGAGGUGAAUAUUAACACAGCAGCAUCAGAGCCAUGGAUAGCCCCCUCACUGAACUAGAGGUGAAUAUUAACACAGCAGCAUCAGAGCCAUGGAUAGCCCCCUCACUGACCUAGAGGUGAAUAUUAACACAGCAGCAUCAGAGCCAUGGAUAGCCC